GGGCCCGCACAAGCGGUGGAGCAUGUGGUUUAAUUCGACGCAACGCGAAGAACCUUACCCAGACUUGACAUGCACUAGACUGGUGUGGAAACACACCUUCCCUUCGGGGCUGGUGCACAGGUGCUGCAUGGCUGUCGUCAGCUCGUGUCGUGAGAUGUUGGGUUAAGUCCCGCAACGAGCGCAACCCUUGUUCUUAGUUGCUAACGGGUAAUGCUGAGCACUCUAAGGAGACUGCCGGUGAUAAACCGGAGGAAGGUGGGGAUGACGUCAAGUCCUCAUGGCCCUUACGUCUGGGGCUACACACGUGCUACAAUGGCCGGUACAGAGGGUUCCGAAACCGCGAGGUGGAGGCAAUCCCAAAAAACCGGUCUCAGUUCGGAUUGCAGUCUGCAACUCGACUGCAUGAAGUCGGAAUCGCUAGUAAUCGCUGAUCAGCAGGCAGCGGUGAAUACGUUCCCGGGCCUU
Molecule: ribosomal RNA, 465 nt
Filed under: uncultured bacterium
Lineage: Bacteria
Description: bacterial SSU rRNA
Rfam family: Bacterial small subunit ribosomal RNA
Source: RNAcentral